AAUAUUGGUAACUACAUGUGACCAUUCACAUAGAUACUAUUUGGGGUUGUUAAUCCUCCAUUGCGUUCUCUUUCUCUCUCUCUCUUUUCCUUUUAAAAUUGGGAUGCCAAUGCAUCUGCACCAUUGAAAUUAUGUAUGAAAUUUUCAUUUAUGUAACUUUCUUUUUAUAUUUCCUAGGAGAAAACUUCUGAUUAUGUAACAAAAUUAUAUAUGACAAUACAAAGAACACCGAAAGUAACAAAAAUUACAUGCAGAUCCGUAGAUCAACCGGAGACAACUACAAACAUUGGAGCAAACCGAAAUUACAUCAUGGCAUUGUAACAUUUUUUUAUUCGUAUGAGUUCUUAUUUCUAUGGGUAAAAUGUCCAUCAUGCUAUUUAUGUCAUGAGAUUGAUUAUUACGAAUUCAGCUUUUGAAAAUAGUUUUUGCCCAAAUUACCAUUUGUCUCCUGUGCAAACCCUAGAAAAGAGAUUUUUGUGUGCCUUAGGGCAUCUAUAGUUGAAACUUGCAAAUCCGGUCUCUCAAACGCCACUGAUCGAACGUGUCCGUUUUGAACCCCUAUUUUUUUGUCCGUGCAGCCGCACCUCUCAUAUUUUUCCUCAUAUGUACAGUCACUUGCACGUGAUUGAUGGAGAAGAAGAG
RNAcentral lists this long non-coding RNA (642 nucleotides) under Hordeum vulgare. RNAcentral describes it as "long non-coding RNA (HVUL_LNC008624)". Lineage: Eukaryota; Viridiplantae; Streptophyta; Magnoliopsida; Poales; Poaceae. The record is from RNAcentral.